UCAAGCUGUAAAGGGCGCAAGGGGAAUGCCUUGGCACUGAGAGCCGACGAAGGACGCGACAAGCUGCGAUAAGCUACGGGGAGCCGCAAAUGGGCUUUGAUCCGUAGAUUUCCGAAUGGGGAAACCCGGCAGAGCAAUACUCUGUCAACGUACACUGAAUACAUAGGUGUACGUGGGGAACCGCCUGAACUGAAACAUCUAAGUAGGGCGAGGAAGAGAAAUCAACCGAGAUUCCGCUAGUAGUGGCGAGCGAACGCGGAAGAGGCCAAACCGGAGGUAGCAAUAUUUCCGGGGUUAGGACUGCAAUAUGUAACUUUAAUCUUUAACUGAAUGCUUUGGGAAGAGCAGCGAUACAGGGUGACAGCCCCGUAAGUGAAAAGGAUUGAGUGCUAGCAGUAUCCAGAGUACCAGCGGACACGUGAAACCCGCUGGGAAGAUGGGGGGACCAUCCUCCAAGCCUAAAUACUACUCAGUGACCGAUAGUGGAGCAGUACCGUGAGGGAAAGGUGAAAAGUACCCCGGGAGGGGAGUGAAAGAGAACCUGAAACCUUGUGCCUACAAGCACCGAGAGCACGUUAAAGUGUGAUCGGGUACUUUUUGUAGAACGGUCCGGCGAGUUAAUAUUUGCAGCGAGGUUAAGUAACUGGAGUUACGGAGCCGCAGCGAGAGCGAGUCUGAAUAGGGCGUAUGAAGUUGCAGGUAUUAGACCCGAAACCGGGUGACCUAUCCAUGAGCAGGCUGAAGCGGUGGUAAGACACCGUGGAGGGCCGCACCCACGUCUGUUGAAAAAGCCGGGGAUGACUUGUGGAUAGCGGAGAAAUUCCAAUCGAACUCGGAGAUAGCUGGUUCUCCCCGAAAUAGCUUUAGGGCUAGCGUUAUUUUAGAUUACCGGAGGUAAAGCACUGAAUGGUCUAGGGGCCGCGAGGUUACCAAAGCCUAUCAAACUCUGAAUGCCGGAUAAUUGAUGAAUAGCAGUCAGACUGUGUGAGAUAAGUCUCAUAGUCAAAAGGGAAACAGCCCAGAUCUACAGCUAAGGUCCCAAAUGAACACUAAGUGGAAAAUGAUGUGAAACUGCGAAGACAACCAGGAUGUUGGCUUAGAAGCAGCCACUCAUUCAAAGAGUGCGUAAUAGCUCACUGGUCGAGUGGUUUUGCGCAGAAAAUGUAACGGGGCUAAGUGUUCAACCGAAGCUUAGGCAUUGCAGUAAUGCAUUGGGUAGGGGAGCGUCGUAUGCGGGGCGAAGUCAGAGCGGAAGCACUGGUGGACUGCAUACGAGUGAGAAUGCCGGAAUAAGUAGCGAGAAUUAUGUGAGAAUCAUAAUGGCCGAAAAUCUAAGGUUUCCUGGGGAAGGUUCGUCCGCCCAGGGUUAGUCGGGAGCUAAGCUCAGGCCGAAAGGCGUAGGCGAUGCACAUACGGUAGAAAUUCCGUAACCACCGAACUUUAAGCUAGAGGGACGCUUUCUUUAAGGUUAUCCCGGGCGAUGGUUGCCCCGGGCGUAAGGGACCGAAAUUUAGUAGGGAAGUAACUGGCGAGAGAGACGAGAAAAGCUCUAGUGUAUACUAAGGUGCCCGUACCGCAAACCGACACAGGUAGAAGGGAUGAGUAUUCUAAGGCCAACGGGAGAAGGGUUGUUAAGGAACUCGGCAAAUUGGCCCCGUAACUUCGGGAUAAGGGGCGCCUGCGAGAGCAGGCCGCAGUGAAAAGGCCCAAGCGACUGUUUAGCAAAAACACAGCUCUCUGCUAAAUCGAAAGAUGACGUAUAGGGGGUGACGCCUGCCCGGUGCUGGAAGGUUAAGGGGAGUGCUUAGCGCAAGCGAAGGUGCGAACUUAAGCCCCAGUAAACGGCGGCCGUAACUAUAACGGUCCUAAGGUAGCGAAAUUCCUUGUCAGGUAAG
Molecule: ribosomal RNA, 1895 nt
Filed under: human gut metagenome
Description: bacterial LSU rRNA
Rfam family: Bacterial large subunit ribosomal RNA
Source: RNAcentral